CUCUCUUUCUGAUUGAGUGUAAGCUGCUAUAUGAAGGGAUCCACAAGACGAAUAAUUAAGGGGGACCUCUGAUCAACAGCCAGCAAGGAACUGAAUCCCUCAGACCCACAACUCACAAGAAACUGAAGCUGAAGCAGAUUCUUCCUCAGUCAAGCUUCAGGACCUGCUUUGCAGAAAGGAUCUCAUUGAGAAUAGCAAAAGGAAGUUGGGAACCAUUACAGUGCCCAGCUGUAUUGGUAGAGGAGACCAACCACACCCUCCACAGCACAGCACCUGGAGAGGAACUGCUGCCAUGACCAUAGAGGACACCCUCUGGAUACAAUGCCAGACUUGAUGUGGGACUGACCAACCUAUGGACCCCAGGCACCACCACCCAGACCUGCUCAGCACCUGAAACAUUCACAGCCGUGGAGAGAGAACUGUUCACUGCUACCAUCCACACUUCUGGGCCCCUUCAGCAGCAGGGUGACAAGGAAGAGGGAAAUCGACUUGGAAAAGAGAGACAGGCUCUCACUAUGUGGCCCAGGUUGGUCUCAAACUCCUGGCCUCCAGUGAUCCUCCCACCUUGGCUGUCCAAAGUGCUGUAAUUACAGGGGACCUCUGACCCAAGAGUUCGGUCAAUGCAUAUGUUGGCAGCCAGCUGCACAUCGCACCAAAUAUGAACUUCAAAUAGAAGAAAGCCUCAUUUGGAAGAAAGCUCAUGCACAGACUGUAAAUAUUUCAGAGCAGAUUGUGUCUCUGUAGAUUAAAACAGGGCAUUAAGGCACAGACACAGAGGGAAGACCUUGUGGAGGCUUGGAGGAAGACAGCCAUCUACUAUCCAAAGACAGAGACAUCAGGAUGUAACCAACCCUACAACACCUUGAUCUGGGACUUCCACCCAGCCUGUGGUGCUGGUCAUGCCAGCCUGAGCAGACUGUCACAGCCGGCUUUUCCUGACUCCCCUUUACAGAGGGCUCCUACCCUUCCUGCCACUCCACAGGGCUAUAGAAAGAUUUUUUAAAGAUCUAUAUGAAGAAUAAGAAGUUAGUCCCUUUCGGACAAAAAUCUUCAGUAAAAUUGAUCUGUGCCCCAGGCACACAAAGAAGCAGGAAUCUGGGUAUUCUCACUGUCAAUAUUCCAUAUGUCUAGCCCCUGGAAACCUAAAACAAGACCAGAGAAUACCAAGGAAGGCAGAUUAUUUGGAAGACAUGGAUGCCAAAGUGCUUCUCAAUCCAGUCUCAGAAGCCAGAGAUGUCAGUGGGUGCUGCUGUUUUAUUUCCUGUGAAUCGGAGGACGAUGAGAAACCAAAUGAAAAUAUUGCCACAGUUAAGAUUGAAAAGAAGGCAAUUUAUGAGUGAGGUGUGGAUUUCAAAUGAGAUCUUCUCUGUUGACAGAGAGCCUUUGCUCUAAGCCAAUACCUGAGCUUCUGCCAGUUUGAACAAUUAUAAUGGAGGAAGGAGAUGAGGGAUUAGAAAAAACAAAGCUGACAGAUGGCAAUUUGUGAAGAGUUGAAUCAACAUAAAUUAUAUCUCAUCAGUGAGCAGAGGAAAGAGAGGAUGUUUUCCAGUGUUCGGCUAACCACUGAGAUGGUGAACAUGCCAGAGGCACAGCAAGCAAACCACUGGGCACCCUCCAGAUCUGGAUGCAAGCACAGAGCUGGAGAAAUACCCUUUAUUGGAAAGCCAUAUGGAUUGCAAAUUGUGGAUAGACAUCUAUUUGAAACAAUACAAUAAAUGAACAUCUGGGA
Molecule: long non-coding RNA, 1729 nt
Organism: Homo sapiens (human)
Lineage: Eukaryota; Metazoa; Chordata; Mammalia; Primates; Hominidae
Product: MIR3976 host gene
Source: Ensembl